UACAAGGAAGGUAGAAGCCACCUAUCUCUGU
Molecule: non-coding RNA, 31 nt
Filed under: Rattus norvegicus (Norway rat)
Lineage: Eukaryota; Metazoa; Chordata; Mammalia; Rodentia; Muridae
Source: RNAcentral